ACAGCAGUCGCCGCGGGAAUACGGAGGGGGCUAGCGUUGUUCGGAAUUACUGGGCGUAAAGCGCACGUAGGCGGCUUGGUAAGUUAGAGGUGAAAGCCUGGAGCUCAACUCCAGAAUUGCCUUUAAGACUGCCGAGCUAGCAGGUGAGAGAGGUAAGUGGAAUUCCGAGUGUAGAGGUGAAAUUCGUAGAUAUUGGGAAGAACACCGGUGGCGAAGGCGGCGACCUGUCCUUGACUGACGCUGAGGCGCGAAAGCGUGGGGAGCAAACAGGAUUAGAUACCCCAGUAGUCCCUGUCUCUUAUACC
RNAcentral lists this ribosomal RNA (305 nucleotides) under uncultured bacterium. RNAcentral's name for it is "partial 16S ribosomal RNA". It matches the Rfam family "Bacterial small subunit ribosomal RNA", at positions 508 to 808 of the family's 1533-position model. The record is from RNAcentral.